UCCGGGGGGAGCAAGCGUUGUUCGGAAUUACUGGGCGUAAAGGGCGCGCAGGCGGCUGCUCAAGUCAGGCGUGAAAGGCCUGGGCUCAACCCGGGAAUUGCGCUUGAGACUGGGCUGGCUUGAGUGCGGGAGAGGAUGGUGGAAUUCCCAGUGUAGAGGUGAAAUUCGUAGAUAUUGGGAAGAACACCGGUGGCGAAGGCGGCCAUCUGGACCGCAACUGACGCUGAGGCGCGAAAGCGUGGGGAGCAAACAGG
This 254-nucleotide ribosomal RNA is filed under the name uncultured bacterium. Its description in RNAcentral is "partial 16S ribosomal RNA". It matches the Rfam family "Bacterial small subunit ribosomal RNA", at positions 524 to 776 of the family's 1533-position model. The record is from RNAcentral.